Long non-coding RNA from Bubalus bubalis (water buffalo), 2388 nucleotides. RefSeq lists it as uncharacterized. The record is from RefSeq and is a predicted model, not a curated record. Lineage: Eukaryota; Metazoa; Chordata; Mammalia; Artiodactyla; Bovidae. The transcript is spliced from 2 exons.
CCGACUCAAUGGACAUGGGUUAGGGUGAACUCCAGGAGUUGGUGAUGGACAGGGAGGCCUGCUGUGCUGCGGUUCAUGGGGUUGCAAAGAGUCAGACAUGACUGAGCGAGUGAACUGAAGUGAAAGGCUCUAUGGAGGUGACACAAACUGAACUUUAAUUUUAACAGUUACCAAUUAUUGGUGUCUUACUAAAUCUAGACCUGGGGCUAGCAUUUUUAAGGCAUUGGCUCAUUUAAUCCUCAAAACAACCCUACAAGGUGGUUACUUUUUAUGAAAUGAGACUAACAUUUGUCCUCUCUUCCAGAAUACAGCAAUUCAAUUCUCAGCUAAGAACCACCUGCAAUAAAGAUUUCAUUUCCAGCCUCUCUUGAGAUACGGCUACAAGAUAAAAUUCAGGUCACAGAGAUUAACCAGAACUUGUGUGGACUUCCAAGUUUUCUUAAAGUUAGGGGCAAGCCUCUUAUGCCUUCCUCCUUUCUGCUGGCUGGGAUGCAAAGAUCAUGGCAGGAGGCCAAGCAGCCAUCCUGGAGUGAGGAAGCCACACACUGAGGAUGAGGGCAAAGAGCCUGGGUGCCCUGAUCAUGUUGAGAAGUCUCCCUCCCCAACCUGCCCUGCCUACCUAGAUUCCUUUUUAGACAGAAAACUUCAUUCUUGCAAUAAGCCAAAAAGAACAUUUUGCGUUUUCUUUCACAGAAUUGAAUCAAGGUCAGACUGACCUAUUAAUACUAUCUGCACUUACAGAGACGAGAAAAGCUUACCCAGACACAGCCAGUGUGAGCCAGGGUUCAAACACAACUCUGAUUCCUUACCUCCGGGUUCCAACCCUCACCCAGACUCCCUUGAGAAGUACACAGGAUUUGUACAGAGUGGGUCCUCCCUCGGAAGAGGGCAGUAAAUAAUAAAAUGUCCCAAACAGCAGCGUAUGAAAACAGAAGAUGAAAAUGACACAAAAUUAGGCAAAUUUGGUCAUGAAGAAAGGAGGGGCAGAAGCUCUCAAUCAGAAACACACAGAUGCAGGUCUGAAUCCCUGAAAGCAUGGACGAGGUUCUGAGAGUAUGUGCAUAUAUAAACAUUUUGAGAAAAGAGUCUGUAGCUUCCAUCAUAUUUCAGAGGGUCUGAGACUCAUAUAAGGACUACUGCCAUAAGGCUUAAAAACGAAACUCGAUGCAAGAACGAGGUAAAGAAAGGUUAUCCAUUUACAUGAUAAAUACUCUGCAGACACUGAUGGGUGUAUGCUUGUGGUCACUAGGUCCACUACAGCGCACAUCUGUUGACUCUGUGUAUCUUCACAGUGUGAUCUUCACCACAGCUUGCAAACUGUAACCAUUCAGCACCUUCUCCUUCAUUCUGUUCAGUCUUUCCAUUACAAUUCUUCCAGCAUAAUUUUUUGAUAGCAAGCGUAUGACUUUGGCUAAAACAAAGAGAAAUCAUGAGAUGAACAUAUGCUACGACUAUGAAACAUUUCACUGGCUGCUCAAUUCAUAUUAAUUAAAUUAGUAUGCGCUUCCUAUUAGUGUUGUUAACAUAAAUGAAAGUCAAAACCUGAACAUCAAGAUGUGCUAUCACUAACAGUUUAGCAAUUUUAUUUUAACCUUGAAAACAUCUUACUUACCGACCAAGGACACCACCAAAAACAGCAAGAAACAGACAAUGUAUUUCUGUCAAAUUUUGCUUUAAUGAUCAGUGGAAUUCAAGAAAUGUCUAUUGAAAUUAAGUCUUUCAGGUAACAUUACUACUAAUUUGGUAACGGUAAUGUUAGCAAUCCAAAUAAUAUAAAGUAAGUCAGGAAUCAGUUCUUGCAAAUCCAAAGUCAUCAUAAUGACAAAAAAAAUUUUUUAAUGAAAAACUCAAAUUCUGCACAUGUCCCCUGCCCAUGCUUUCUAAGGGGCUUCCUGCCAGUGUUGACUUUCAGGCCAUGGACGUGGUCUGGGUACCAGGCAGAGGCAGAGUGAGCAUCGUGGGCAGGGCAAACUGAAAGGAAGGAAAAGAAGGGAGGGGAGGCCAGGAAGAGAGAAAAUUUCAAGUGCCUGAAAUACGAAAUUUCAUUGGCUUCCUCUUUCUUAGGUAAGCCAGCAGCAUGAACGAUUUCAACAGCCAAAUCCAGCCUCAGAGAGGUAGGAGCGAAGCCAUGAGAGAAGCAGUGACAAAUCAGAUCUCAUUUUAAUAUACUUAAAUAAAUACAAUUAUCAUAAGCAUUAACAUGCUCUGCUGAUAAGGAGACAAACUCCUCUGGAAGAAAUAGCUUGUACAAUACAUGUCUCUUGUCAUCAAGCCAGUGACCUUCCUCAUGGUGCUGUUGUUUGGAACUGUAUUUGAAGUUAUAUUUUGGAUAGUUUAAACAUACGAAUGUUGAAGAAUCCUAAAAAAAAAAAAAAAAAAAAUCUAACA